This 567-nucleotide long non-coding RNA is filed under the name Homo sapiens (human). Its description in RNAcentral is "non-protein coding lnc-KTN1-2:1". Lineage: Eukaryota; Metazoa; Chordata; Mammalia; Primates; Hominidae. The record is from RNAcentral.
CGGCAGGGGUGGAGAUCUCAUCUGAAGGCUUGACUCAGUUUGGGGAGGAGAUCCACUUCCAAGUUCAUGCAUGUGGUUGUUGUUGGGCCUCAGUUUCUCAUGGCAUGAGCCUCUACAUAUGUCUGUCUUAUAGCAUGGCUUCCCACAGGGCAAGCGUUCAGAGAGGGUGAGAAAGCACAUGAGAUGGAAGCUACAGUCUUUGGAGAACAUAUGCUUAGAACUGACAUUCCAUUACUUCUGCCAUAUUCUAUGCGUUAGAAGUAAGUAAGUUCAGUCUGCAUCAGGGAAGGCUGAUGUAGGAGUGCGGAUGAUUGCGUGCCUUAUGCAAGAGGCUUAUUUUAGAGCUGCCUACCAUACCUGGAAACUUAUUAGACAUACAAAUUGUUGGACCCCAUUCCAGACCUACUGAAUCAGAAACUCUGAGAGUGGGGCCCGGGAAUGUGUGUUCUACACUCCUUCUGGGUGAUUCUGAUGCAUGCUUAAGUUUGAUAGCCAUUGGCUUAGAGUAGGGGAUUGGUGAACUUCAUUUUAGGCACCAGGGGCCCCUACUAUCUCUGCCUCAGCUAC